AAUGAACGCUGGCGGCAUGCCUUACACAUGCAAGUCGAACGGCAGCAUGACCUCGCUUGCUAGGUUGAUGGCGAGUGGCGAACGGGUGAGUAAUGCAUCGGAACGUGCCUUUUAGUGGGGGAUAACGUAGCGAAAGUUACGCUAAUACCGCAUAUUCUCUGAGGAGGAAAGCAGGGGACCUUCGGGCCUUGCGCUAGAAGAGCGGCCGAUGUCGGAUUAGCUAGUUGGUGAGGUAAAGGCUCACCAAGGCAACGAUCCGUAGCGGGUCUGAGAGGAUGAUCCGCCACACUGGGACUGAGACAAGGCCCAGACUCCUACGGGAGGCAGCAGUGGGGAAUUUUGGACAAUGGGCGCAAGCCUGAUCCAGCCAUGCCGCGUGAGUGAAGAAGGCCUUCGGGUUGUAAAGCACUUUCGGCUGGGAAGAAAUCGCACCCUCUAAUACAGGGUGUGGAUGACGGUACCAGCAUAAGAAGCACCGGCUAACUACGUG
RNAcentral lists this ribosomal RNA (490 nucleotides) under uncultured bacterium. RNAcentral describes it as "partial 16S ribosomal RNA". It matches the Rfam family "Bacterial small subunit ribosomal RNA", at positions 29 to 507 of the family's 1533-position model. The record is from RNAcentral.